This 56-nucleotide small nuclear RNA is filed under the name Capra hircus (goat). The record is from RNAcentral. Lineage: Eukaryota; Metazoa; Chordata; Mammalia; Artiodactyla; Bovidae.
GUAUUGCAUGAAAGGAGAGAAGGUUAGCACUCCCCUUGACAAGGAUGGAAGAGGCU